This 317-nucleotide ribosomal RNA is filed under the name uncultured bacterium. RNAcentral's name for it is "bacterial SSU rRNA". It matches the Rfam family "Bacterial small subunit ribosomal RNA", at positions 37 to 334 of the family's 1533-position model. The record is from RNAcentral.
GAUAAACGCGUGGCGGCGCACAUAAGACAUGCAAGUCGAACGGACUUAACCGAGAUGUUUACAUUUUGGAGCGGUUAGUGGCGGACUGGUGAGUAACACGUAAGCAACCUGCCUAUUAGAGGGGAAUAACACAGAGAAAUUUGUGCUAAUACCGCAUGAUGCAGUUGGGUCGCAUGGCUCUGACUGCCAAAGAUUUAUCGCUCUGAGAUGGACUCGCGUCUGAUUAGCUGGUUGGCGGGGUAACGGCCCACCAAGGCGACGAUCAGUAGCCGGACUGAGAGGUUGGCCGGCCACAUUGGGACUGAGACACGGCCCAG